This 447-nucleotide ribosomal RNA is filed under the name uncultured bacterium. RNAcentral describes it as "bacterial SSU rRNA". It matches the Rfam family "Bacterial small subunit ribosomal RNA", at positions 355 to 825 of the family's 1533-position model. The record is from RNAcentral.
UCGGGAAUUUUGGGCAAUGGGCGAAAGCCUGACCCAGCAACGCCGCGUGAAGGAUGAAGUAUUUCGGUAUGUAAACUUCGUAAGAAUAGGAAGAAUAAAUGACGGUACUAUUUAUAAGGUCCGGCUAACUACGUGCCAGCAGCCGCGGUAAUACGUAGGGACCAAGCGUUGUUCGGAUUUACUGGGCGUAAAGGGCGCGUAGGCGGCAUGACAAGUCACUUGUGAAAUCUCUGGGCUUAACCCAGAACGGCCAAGUGAUACUGUCGCGCUAGAGUGCAGAAGGGGCAAUCGGAAUUCUUGGUGUAGCGGUGAAAUGCGUAGAUAUCAAGAGGAACACCUGAGGUGAAGACGGGUUGCUGGGCUGACACUGACGCUGAGGCGCGAAAGCCAGGGGAGCAAACGGGAUUAGAUACCCACGUAGUCCCUGAGCGGGCUGGCAAGGCGCAU